Molecule: non-coding RNA, 90 nt
Organism: Lentinula raphanica
Lineage: Eukaryota; Fungi; Basidiomycota; Agaricomycetes; Agaricales; Omphalotaceae
Source: the annotation of a GenBank genome assembly
GUCCACUUGGCUCAAGGGUAGAGCAUCAGAUAAUGGUGUAGAAGACAUUUCGAGAUCUGAAGUAUGCGAGUUCGAAUCUCACAGUGGACA